GGGGUUGUGGCUCAGAGGAAGAGUGCUCGCCUAGCAUGCGUGAGGCACUGGGUUCGAUCCUCAGCACUACA
Molecule: transfer RNA, 71 nt
Filed under: Marmota monax (woodchuck)
Lineage: Eukaryota; Metazoa; Chordata; Mammalia; Rodentia; Sciuridae
Description: tRNA.Ala
Rfam family: tRNA (bases 6-66)
About the family: Transfer RNA (tRNA) molecules are approximately 80 nucleotides in length. Their secondary structure includes four short double-helical elements and three loops (D, anti-codon, and T loops).
Source: RNAcentral